Molecule: antisense RNA, 72 nt
Filed under: Streptomyces alboflavus
Lineage: Bacteria; Bacillati; Actinomycetota; Actinomycetes; Kitasatosporales; Streptomycetaceae
Description: ASpks TB sRNA
Rfam family: ASpks TB sRNA
Source: Rfam by way of RNAcentral
CUUCACCGAGCCGAGCCACAGCGGUUCGCCGCCGCGCUCCUUGCCGUACGUGGCGAGCAGGGCCUGUGCCUC